Wasmannia auropunctata (little fire ant) is the source of this 1554-nucleotide long non-coding RNA. RefSeq lists it as uncharacterized. The record is from RefSeq and is a predicted model, not a curated record. NCBI's taxonomy places the organism in Eukaryota, Metazoa, Arthropoda, Insecta, Hymenoptera, Formicidae. The transcript is spliced from 2 exons.
GAGUCUAAGCGACCUUCACUAACGAUUUAUGCAAUUGCAUCAUUGCCAAGUUCGUCCCGUGAAAACGCAAGUUUUGGCAGCCGAUACGAAAAUCGAGGCCCAAUCGCGUAAGCGAUGCUUAAUUGACACGAGAUAGAAAAAAAAAAGAUUUCCAACGAGCGUAAUUUGAGGCAUCGCUAAACUCAAUUAAGGGAUCGCUCGAUGUGUCAAGUCAGUAAGUUCCGAUAAGUUUUUAAAUAAAUUAAAAUUCUGGGAAAUUUUCAAUAUCGUCAUGUACAGAGUCCUUCACGAAUGUUACGCAAGUAGUUACGUAGACGACAUUAAGACUGCAAAGUAUGUUAGUGUAAUGUAUGUUAAUAUUACGUAAUUAAUACCGAUAGUGUCCAUUAUUGAUAAGAUAUUCCGUGUCAAAUACGAUUUAUCGAUAUAUCCUUCAAAUUGCGACACAUUUCAUAUUUAUAUUUGCAAAUCUCAUUGUCAAACGGACGCGUGGCUAGUGAUUAAAUGCUAGAACAGCUCCGGCCAGACGGACCUGCCAAUGGCGAAUUUUAGGCGCUAUAAAAAUGCAUCAAAUAGUACUAUUAAUUUAUUUUAGUACUGUAAAAUGUAUAUUUUUAAGAGUACGUUGUUGUAAAUAUACUUUAGCUACUUAAACAUACCGUCUAUACUUCAUUUAUUGCACCAUUCCGAUACUUUAUCGUAUAAUUUUAUUUUUGUACAUUUGUUGUAGACAUAAUUGUCGGAAACUAAUAGCGCAUUCUUGCAACAGAUGACUCCUACACAAUUGCUUGUGCUUUUAUAACAAGUUCCAAUUCCGGGUCCCUGAUUUUUAGAAUAUUUUCUCGAUUAAACAAAAAUCUCUGUUAUGGAUCUUAUUGUCCUGUCGUUUAAAAAGCAUAUGUAUUUUCGUAGAAAUUCGCAGUCUCGCUAUAAGGAUUACAAUGAAUCAACAUUCGACGGAAGAACGGCAAGACUUGCAAGAAUUUCGAUUGAUUAAGUAACGCAUCUGACGCAAGUGUGAUUAAACUUGUGUCAAACGUAAAUGGAGAGAACUGUUGAAACAACGUGAGAAAUCAGAGAAAUCGGGCAAAGUAGGCAUGUUUUUGUAUGAGAGAUAUUUUAUGUAUAUAUAUUAUUUUAUGAUAUAAAUCAAUAAUGUUUCUUAUAAACGUACAUGUACAUACAAAGCUAAACGAUACAAAAUAAAUCGGUGAUCCGGGAAAGAACGCUUGCACGAUUUAUUCUGCGUAUAUAAGGAAUCGGUACUAGAGCGGUAUACUUCGCGCGGAAGAGACAAAGAAGGACGAAAAACUAACGCACACGCUAUACGGGGACCAAAGGAUUGUUCUCGCGUAGAGAUUGAAUGUAGAAACUACGGUACUUCUCCCGAACUUCCAUGAAGCUCACUCUGAAGCUCGGAAUUCUAUGAAUAUUUAAAUCGAAUGGCGCGAAUUCGUAAUAUUUAUAUAUAUGUGUGUGUGUGUGUGUGUAUGUGUGUGUGUGUGUGUGUAAAAAAAUACGUGUAUUCGAACGAUGUGCCACGUGCAUAAGAAC